RNAcentral lists this ribosomal RNA (478 nucleotides) under uncultured bacterium. RNAcentral describes it as "partial 16S ribosomal RNA". It matches the Rfam family "Bacterial small subunit ribosomal RNA", at positions 28 to 507 of the family's 1533-position model. The record is from RNAcentral.
GAUGAACGCUGGCGGCGUGCUUAACACAUGCAAGUCGAACGAGAAAUGGAGACGUACACCUUCGGGCGGAAGGCUUCAUUUCGAGUGGCGGACGGGUGAGUAACGCGUGGGUAACCUGCCUCAUACAGGGGGAUAACAGUUGGACACGACUGUUAAUACCGCAUAAGACCAGAGCACCGCAUGGUUCGGGGGUAAAGACUCCGGUGGUAUGAGAUGGACCCGCGUUCGAUUAGCCAGCUGGCGGGGUAACGGCCCACCAAAGCGGCGAUGGAUAGCCGAUGUGGGAGGAUGACCGGCCACAUUGGGACUGAGACACGGACCAAACUCCUACGGGAGGCAGCAGUGGGGAAUAUUGCACAAUGGGGGAAAACCUGAUGCAGCGGCGCCGCGUGAGUGAAGAAGUACUUCGGUAUGUAAAGCUCUAUCAGAAGGGAAGAAAAUGACGGUACCUGAGUAAGAAGCCCCGGCUAACUACGUG